Molecule: ribosomal RNA, 484 nt
Filed under: uncultured bacterium
Lineage: Bacteria
Description: partial 16S ribosomal RNA
Rfam family: Bacterial small subunit ribosomal RNA
Source: RNAcentral
AUUGAACGCUGGCGGCAGGCCUAACACAUGCAAGUCGAGCGGAUGAAGGGAGCUUGCUCCUGGAUUCAGCGGCGGACGGGUGAGCAAUGCCUAGGAAUCUGCCUGGUAGUGGGGGAUAACGUCCGGAAACGGGCGCUAAUACCGCAUACGUCCUGAGGGAGAAAGUGGGGGAGCUUCGGACCUCACGCUCUCAGAUGAGCCUAGGUCGGAGUAGCUAGUUGGUGGGGUAAAGGCCUACCAAGGCGACGAUCCGUAACUGGUCUGAGAGGAUGAUCAGUCACCCUGGAGCUUGGACACGGUCCUGACUCCUACGGGAGGCAGCAGUGGGGAAUAUUGGACAGUGGGCGAAAGCCUGGUCCAGCCAUGCCGCGUGUGUGAAGAAGGUCUUCGGAUUGUAAAGCACUUUAAGUUGGGGGGAAGGGCAGUAAGUUAAUACCUUGCUGUUUUGACGUUACCAACAGAAUAAGCACCGGCUAACUUCGUG